This is a non-coding RNA of Lactuca sativa (garden lettuce), 1749 nucleotides long. The record is from RefSeq and is a predicted model, not a curated record. NCBI's taxonomy places the organism in Eukaryota, Viridiplantae, Streptophyta, Magnoliopsida, Asterales, Asteraceae.
UUUAAAAAAUAAUAUAAGAGUAAUUUUGUAACUUUACAUCACCUUCAUUUAUUAAACCAAAAAUAAUUCUCUUAUAUAGAUAGAAAACUCCUUAAUUAAUGGAACAAUUACCAUAAAAGGCCAUAAACUAACCCUAGUCGUCCAAGUCCAUUGUGUGAGGAUGUGUUGCGUUGGUUCCCUUUUUGCUAUCGGCCGAGAAAGAGAAAUCUGGAGGGGAGGGGCUGUGCGAUCGGAAGAGAAGAGGAUGAAGGGAAGUGAGGCUGAAAUCGAGGAUCGACGGGAAGUAAGGGAAGGGUCUUCGGUCUUUGACUGGCCGCAGGAGGUGUGCCCCGGCAGCACGAGAAUCGUUUACUGUUCCGGGCCGGAUCAAGGUUGGGUUGGUGUGCCACCCACAGUAGGCGAUUGUUGGAGAAGAUCUCCACAAGUUCGUUCCAGAUUUAGGGCUUAACCACAUGGUCUGGAAAACCCUAGCGUAUAAUCGACCUACCAGAAUCUCUCUAGACCAAGAACCGACUACUGAAUUCAGUCACCUGAUUCCCUGACUACAACCGUUUACAGAUACCACCGGAGAUGGAGUUUUUGCCCACGCAAUCUUCGUUUUUUCUUCCGCAGUUUCUCAAAGUCAAUCUCCAAUGAUCGAUUUUGAAUUUUUAUAUGUUUUUUGUGUUAUGCCAAAAUUUUAAAGAUUUGGUUUGGAUUUUACUAUACAAAGCUCCCCCUCUGAUUGCCCCGUCUUUGUCCUUCUUCGAAUCAGGUAUCAGAUUACACAAAUUAUAUCCAAAAAAGGUCUCCGUUCCUCAAACUGCAGCGGAGGAUGACCUAGAACCAACCUCUCUCUGUAAUCUUCUCCAAAUCUUUUUCGUCUCCACAUUUCGUCGAUCAUCAAUCAGGGAAAAUGAAGGAGAAACAAUGAAGGUUUGAUGCCCCAUUUUCUUGAUUGAUUUGUCAUGAACAACACCGUGUUCUUGACCGGAACAUGAUACUCAGAAGAAGAAAUAAGGAAACUGGAUGUUGCUUCUUUGGUGAUUCAUUGACUGUCAAUCAAAAGAAAACACAUGUUGAAACAAAAUAAAAGUUAAUUUAAAACUCAAUCAGAUAUCUUAUUUUCUUUAUUGAUUACAAUAUUCUAUUAUCUGAGAUUUGACUAGAUAAUAUCUGAAUACAUUAAAUUCCAACAGAAUAUCUAAAUCGAUUCCAAUUUUCAACUAUGCUUUAAUUGUUUUGUUUUUCUAAACCAUUUGAAUUGAGUAAAAUUAUAUAAAAAAAGUAAAAACUUCUGAGUUUUGUAGAUAAUAAGAAGAAAACAAAAGUUAAAAGUUGGUGUGUAUUUUUGUGGUGAUGUAAACAGGAACAUGUGUUUCUUUCAAAUAUUCAUGAUUCAGAUAUUCUGUUGGAAUUUAAUGUAUGUUAGGAUGAUGCAGGAAUGAUGAGGUAACUUAUGAAAAAAAGAUUUGUGAUACUUCAUUCUCAAAGAAUGAAGAAAAACAACAACAUUCUUUCAGAUUUCAGGAUUCAACAUCCAAAAACAGCAGCAUUCUUUCAGAAUUCAAGAAUUCAAGAAGAAAACAUGAAGAACGAGAGUAUUCUAGCAGAAUGUUGUUAUUUUUUAAGAAUAUUAUUCAUUUUUGUUGAUAUUCAUUUAGAAUAUUUAUAACUAUAUUUAAAAUGUACAAGACUUUUAGUCUGUAAGAAUAUGUAUGAAUUUGUAUUUAAGUUCGGAUGUAUAAAAAUAUAUUAGAAUGUUUGUUA